Molecule: transfer RNA, 70 nt
Filed under: Lachnospiraceae bacterium
Lineage: Bacteria; Bacillati; Bacillota; Clostridia; Lachnospirales; Lachnospiraceae
Description: tRNA-Met
Rfam family: tRNA
About the family: Transfer RNA (tRNA) molecules are approximately 80 nucleotides in length.
Source: RNAcentral
GGUGCAGUAGCCGCGGGAAAGGCAUAGGUUCCAUAGACCGAAGUUGGCGGUUCGAGUCCGUCCUGUGCCG